Molecule: ribosomal RNA, 442 nt
Filed under: uncultured soil bacterium
Lineage: Bacteria
Description: bacterial SSU rRNA
Rfam family: Bacterial small subunit ribosomal RNA
Source: RNAcentral
AGGACGAACGCUGGCGGCGUGCUUAACACAUGCAAGUCGAGCGGAAAGGCCACUUCGGUGGUACUCGAGCGGCGAACGGGUGAGUAACACGUGAGUAAUCUGCCCUCCACUUUGGGAUAGUCCACCGGGAAACGGUGAUUAAUACCGGAUAUGACCUGAUACCGCGAUGGGUGUUGGGUGGAAAGUUUUUCGGUGGGGGAUGUGCUCGCGGCCUAUCAGCUUGAUGGUGGGUAAUGGCCUACAGUGGCUUCGACGGGUAGCCGGCCUGAGAGGGUGACCGGCCACACGUGGGACCGAGACACGGCCCAGACUCCACGGGAGCAGCGAGUGGGAAUAUGGACAAUGGGCGAAGCGUAGAUCCAGCAACGGCCGCGUGAGGGAUGACCGGCCGUUCGGGUAGUAAACCGUCGUUUGGGUGGGGAGAAGCGAAGGUGACGUACCC